GUAAUUUUGCAGCGCAUCGGUUCGAUGUUACUAUCUUUUGUAGUACAUUGAUUAAAAGGGAAUCGGGUGAAAAUCCCGAACAGACCCGCUACUGUGAAUCCUAUGCAACAUUUUGACAUAACCUACAAUAGUCACUGCAUUUUAUGAUGUGGGAAGGCUGCUCAAAAUGAGGAUAAGUCAGGAGACCUGCCCGUGCCUUGAUAUUUUU
This 208-nucleotide non-coding RNA is filed under the name Bacteroidetes oral taxon 274 str. F0058. The record is from RNAcentral. RNAcentral also lists the same sequence under 1 other name. Lineage: Bacteria; Pseudomonadati; Bacteroidota.